RNAcentral lists this ribosomal RNA (399 nucleotides) under Napothera danjoui (short-tailed scimitar-babbler). RNAcentral's name for it is "partial 12S ribosomal RNA". It matches the Rfam family "Bacterial small subunit ribosomal RNA", at positions 541 to 1026 of the family's 1533-position model. Lineage: Eukaryota; Metazoa; Chordata; Aves; Passeriformes; Timaliidae. The record is from RNAcentral.
AAACUAACAUUCCAACGGCGUAAAGUGUGGUAACAUGCUAUCCAAGUAACUAAGAUUAAAAAGCGUCUAAGUCGUCACAAGCCCAAGACGCACACUAAGGCCACUAUUCAAAGAAAAUCUUAGACUAACGAUCGAUUGAAGCCACGAAAGCCAGGGCCCAAACUGGGAUUAGAUACCCCACUAUGCCUGGCCCUAAAUCUUGGUGCUCGAUCUAACCGGAGCAUCCGCCUGAGAACUACGAGCACAAACGCUUAAAACUCUAAGGACUUGGCGGUGCUCCAAACCCACCUAGAGGAGCCUGUUCUGUAAUCGAUGAUCCACGAUAUACCUUACCAUUCCUUGCACGAAACAGCCUAUAUACCGCCGUCUCCAGCCCACCCACCAUGAAGGACCAACAGU